GAUGAACGCUAGCUACAGGCUUAACACAUGCAAGUCGAACGAGCGAGAGAGAGCUUGCUUUCUCGAGCGAGUGGCGAACGGGUGAGUAACGCGUGAGGAACCUGCCUCAAAGAGGGGGACAACAGUUGGAAACGACUGCUAAUACCGCAUAAGCCCACGACCCGGCAUCGGGUUGAGGGAAAAGGAGCAAUCCGCUUUGAGAUGGCCUCGCGUCCGAUUAGCUAGUUGGUGAGGUAACGGCCCACCAAGGCAACGAUCGGUAGCCGGACUGAGAGGUUGAACGGCCACAUUGGGACUGAGACACGGCCCAG
This 311-nucleotide ribosomal RNA is filed under the name uncultured bacterium. RNAcentral describes it as "bacterial SSU rRNA". It matches the Rfam family "Bacterial small subunit ribosomal RNA", at positions 28 to 334 of the family's 1533-position model. The record is from RNAcentral.